GGGAUUGCCUCAGUAACGGCGAGUGAAGCGGCAACAGCUCAAAUUUGAAAUCUGGCCUCUUCGGGGUCCGAGUUGUAAUUUGUAGAGAGUGCUUCGGGUGAGACCGCGGUCUAAGUCCAUUGGAACAUGGCGUCCCAGAGGGUGAGAAUCCCGUAUGCGACCGUGGCUCGAGCCCAUGUGAAGCCUCUUCGACGAGUCGAGUUGUUUGGGAAUGCAGCUCUAAAUGGGUGGUAAAUUUCAUCUAAAGCUAAAUACUGGCUGGAGACCGAUAGCGCACAAGUAGAGUGAUCGAAAGAUGAAAAGCACUUUGGAAAGAGAGUUAAACAGUACGUGAAAUUGUUGAAAGGGAAGCGCUUGCAACCAGACCUGCCCGUAGGCGAUCAACCGCUGUUCUCAGUGGUGCACUCGUUCUGCGAUCAGGCCAGCAUCGGUUCGGGCGGCCGGAUAAAGGCCUUGGGAAUGUAGCUCCCUUUCGGGGGAGUCUUAUAGCCCUCGGUGCAAUGCGGCCAGCCGGGACCGAGGACCGCGCUUCGGCUAGGAUGCUGGCGUAAUGGUUGUAAGCGACCCGUCUUGAAACACGGACCAAGGAGUCUAACAUCUAUGCGAGUGUUUGGGUGUCAAACCCAUGCGCGGAAUGAAAGUGAACGGAGGUGAGAACCCUGUCGGGCGCAUCAUCGACCGAUCCAGAUGUCUUCGGAUGGAUUUGAGUAUGAGCAUAGCUGUUGGGACCCGAAAG
Molecule: ribosomal RNA, 736 nt
Filed under: Melanohalea multispora
Lineage: Eukaryota; Fungi; Ascomycota; Lecanoromycetes; Lecanorales; Parmeliaceae
Description: LSU rRNA
Rfam family: Eukaryotic large subunit ribosomal RNA
Source: RNAcentral